CGCCGGUCCGCAUUCGGGCUAGCUUGACGCCCGCCUCUUCCCGGGAUCUUUCCGCUAGGAUCUUGUUGUCCCGCGAAGCUGCUCCGCACUGGCAUUGAGGUGGAAAGAGUGGUGGCAGCCGAACACUUUCCAACCUUAGGCGCGCCGGAGCUGCGCUAGUUCUCGCCAGGUCGUUCUCAGAUUUGAUAUUCACCUCCCCUCCUGCCGGUUUCCCGAAAGAGGGGAGCGAGGUCUUAAGCCCAUGAACUGAUACAAUCAGUUGGCUGAUACAAUCUGAGCAUUUUGUCUAACAGUCCUGACGUCGAGCAAGAAAUUACAGCUAAAGGAGUCAACAGCCGGCAUUCAUAACUGCUGUGAAGCACCAGUUUUCUGUGAUUACUUUUUUCCAAUGGGAAAUCAGAAAUCGAGGCAAUAGCACAGAUCUCGUCAUAUCUAUACAGUUGGCAGCAUCAGAAAAUGAUCUAAGGAAGGCAGAGAAAAGUUAAACACAGAAGACUAUCACAAGUUAAAAGAAGAGACACAAAGAGAGAUAGAGCCAUCCAUAUACUGUAGAAGCUUUUGCAGCUAGUUCUGCCCUGUAAUUCCAGAUGUCAUAACAGGACUAUAAACAACGUCGUGACAUGAGCAAGCAAAAGCCACACAAAGUCAGUAGCCUAUCACAGGCACAUGGAUUACUUAUCAUAAUAAACACAUUAAAAUAA
Long non-coding RNA from Lacerta agilis (Sand lizard), 701 nucleotides. RefSeq lists it as uncharacterized. The record is from RefSeq and is a predicted model, not a curated record. NCBI's taxonomy places the organism in Eukaryota, Metazoa, Chordata, Lepidosauria, Squamata, Lacertidae. The transcript is spliced from 2 exons.